Erpetoichthys calabaricus (reedfish) is the source of this 167-nucleotide small nuclear RNA. RefSeq annotates it as U1 spliceosomal RNA. The record is from RefSeq and is a predicted model, not a curated record. Lineage: Eukaryota; Metazoa; Chordata; Cladistia; Polypteriformes; Polypteridae. The transcript has a single exon.
GAAUUUAGACAUGAAAAAAAAAAAAAAAAAAAAAAAAAAAAGGUUCUCCCAGGGCGAGGCUCAUCCAUUGCACUCCGGGUGUGCUGACCCCCUGCGAUUUCCCCAAAUGCGGGAAACUCGACUGCAUAAUUUGUGGUAGUGGGGGACUGCGUUCGCGCUCUCCCCUG